Long non-coding RNA from Helianthus annuus (common sunflower), 4195 nucleotides. RefSeq lists it as uncharacterized. The transcript is spliced from 4 exons. The record is from RefSeq and is a predicted model, not a curated record. Lineage: Eukaryota; Viridiplantae; Streptophyta; Magnoliopsida; Asterales; Asteraceae.
AAUAAGACAAACACCUGACCUUUCUCUCGUCUCUUAAAUACAAUUGCUACCUACCAUCUUCUUCCUGAACUAUCUUCUUCCCACCGAACAUGUGUCUUCCAGUCCUUUUCAUCCCGAUCUUUGAUUAAUCGAACCCACAACGCAAGUAGCAACAAGUUCAUCUUCAUCCACUCAAAUCAAACAAGCGUUGAUUCUACGCACUGCCCCCGAUUCAUCAACUACAACACAAGACGGUGCUCCGGUGGCCGUGAGCGACGGUGACGGGGCCGGUGACAGGGGUUCUCGACGGCGACGGUGGUGCCUCAGAGUUCCGGCAGCCGUGACUCCGUCGGUAAGAACAUCUGUUCUUUCUUUUCUCUUUGAUUUCUGAACGGUAAACAAGUUCCACACUCGAAAUUCUUUUUUUUUUUCCGGUGAUUAUUGAUGAUUAUGGUAACUGAUGUUGAUAAUAAUGAUGAUGGUGUCGACUUCCGGCGAGUGCCGCUAAUGUUGACGAUGAUGAAGAUGUGUCUGCUAUUGACGUGAUGAUGUUGAUGAUGAGGAAGACAGUGGUGGUUUUCAGGUCUUGGCUCGAUUGCUGAACUCCGGUCCGGCCCUCACGGAAACAAGCUCAGUGCAGUUUUGGUUCAAAGCUUCGGGUUUCGGUUCGGUCAACAACAAUCAACUGGUGGUUUGGUUCAGAUUACGGUUCGGAUCAGUUUCGGGUGAUUCGGGUCGCGACACGGUCAAAGUCAGUCAACGAAAGCCAACUGGUCAACCCCAGUCAACUUUUGGGUCAAACUUAGUCGACGAAAGACCCGGGCGAUUUUGGGGAAUGACUUGAGAAUUAUUUUUCCUAUGUAUUCUUACACAUAGACUAUUGAUACGUAGAAGAAUGCUUCUUCUGGAAUGGGUGUUGCUGAUCACUGUAAAGGCACCUUCUUGGAACUACAAAGAAAGAAGGUACACCGUUACGUUAUUUUCGAAAUUGACAAAAAGAAAACUCAAGUUGUUGUGGAGAAGACUGGCAAUCCUGCUGAAAGUUACGAUGAUUUUACAUCGGCUUUGCCCGAAAAUGAUUGCAGAUACGCAAUCUUUGACUUUGUAACCUCUGAGAACUGUCAAAAGAGCAAGAUUUUCUUCAUCGCAUGAUUGAAGUAUUGAAGAAAGCAUCAAAGGUUUCAGUAUUUUUCAUCAUUUUCACAACCUCCAAAACCGCAAGGAUUGGCAGUAAUCCCUCACUGAACCUCAAUUCAACAACAGCAAUCACCUGACAAACCUGUCCAAUGGACGACGGUGAACUCAUCCGUGAUUGACCAAUGUGAAUAGUAUAAAAAGCAAGAAACUAACCAUGAUAUAUGAAGAAAAGUGUAGAAAACCAACACCAUAACCAUCAAAUAACAUAAUUAUCUUCACUGAAGUUCAGGCCUAUUGGAGCAAGUUUCUUAAUUUGUAUUGGCUAUAAUCAAUUCAAAAUAAGCAUAAACCACAUAAGAGCCUUAGUUUUAAAAUUAUACGUGAUUUAAUCAGAGCUACCAUUUUUUAUAAGAGCCUUAGUUUUAAAAUUAUAAGAGCCUUAGCAUAAACCACAAUUCAACAGCCUACCACUAUAAAUUGCCCAACAUCAAACGCCACCGGCCACAAUCACGGCACCUCGUCGACUCCCGAUCAUUAGUCCUCACCAUUACCGACAGAAAUAAAACACAAAGAAAUGGGUGGUUUUGUGUUUUAGUAGUAAAAACUGUGUGUUCUAGUAUUAAAAUCUGAUCUUUUUUUAAUUCUCUUCAAUCGUAAUAAAUUAAAGAUUGGGGAAGAAAACCUGACACAUGUCAUCCGUUCUUCAAUCGACAAGCAAUGAUUCACCUUCGACUCAUCAGUGGCUCGCCCUCUCUGCUUUCUUUACAGAAACGAAGACCACAAAAAAGGAUCACCCUAAUGUCUUAACUGAUUUAAAGAAGAUCAGAUUGCGGAUAGUGAAAACAAAAUCAAUCGGUUGUCGUCAGUUGUGCGUCUCUAUGCCAUUAGUGUUCCUAAUAGAGCAAUAGGAAGUUAAUAAUGAUGGAAACCGAAACAUUCGAUGAGAGUUAAAACGUAUAAGAGAUAGCCACGUGUCUCAAUUUUAUGCUGAAAAUAUAAUAAAAGGGAAGGCGAAACACCAGCCAGUCACGUGUAUCUUUAUAGAGAUAAUACUAAAUUAUUAUGUUUACCUAGAUUUGAAUAUUGGACUCUCUUAAAAAAACUAGUAGGAAUGCUCGCGCGUUGGGCCGCGGAUAUUUAUGUUAAAGUCUACCAAAAUUACACAUAAUGACAUAUAAUACUUCAAUCCUCAAUGGAAUGACAAUCAUUAUAACCUCAUAUACCUCAAAAACCCAUAUACUGUUCCUUGUUAUGAUAAUAUAUAUACACACAUAUAUAUAAUUCCAAUAGUAGCUUGUUCCACGAAUGUGUCAGCUGUUAAAGUCUAGCAAAAUUUACCUUACCUGCAAUAGCAUCCAAACAGACAAGUUAAUGACAUUGGUAAUAUAAACAAUCUUUUUUUUUUGGCUCAUUCUAUACGCACCCCCCCUCUUCCUGAUUACACCCCCCUUUGUGAGAGGAAAACUGUCGGUCCCACGCAGGCCCCACCUGUAAGUAUGUGAGAGGAGGGGGGUGAAAAAAGUAAAUAGUGGGGGUGUAGAAAGUAGCACCCUUUUUUUUUUUGAACGGCUAACAUAAUCAAUCCCGAGCACUCUCGGGGCACCCACUGGACAAACGAAGUACUCUGAGAGUAACCCGAGUCCACCAACAAUUCCGAGGAAAACCCAAUAACCCACCCGCUCGUAGGCACGACGGUGAAAUUACCGGUAAAACCCGUUUAGAUCAAGGAUCUACCGGUGCCUUUCCCGCACCCACCCCUUUCACCCUUAAGAGCAUUGAAUAAAUUUAACUUAAUUUCAUUAAAAAAAAGUUGACCUGAAACCAAUGGGGGCUUCCCCGCACCACCCCGUUCACCCUUACGUAGAUCAGUGAUCACAUGAAGUCACAAAACAUGCAAAAAAAAAAAAUAAAUAAUAAUAAUAAUAAUAAUAAUAAUAAUAAUAAUAAUAAUAAUAAUAAUAAUCUGUCUAACGAAAAGGAAUUUGGCCGUUUCUUGGGUUGACCAAUAUCCUUUUCUUGUCGCGCCCCAUUUACUAUUUGAAUUUGUUAUCACCUUAUUGGCAAAUCACUUUCCAUAUUCUUUAUAAAACCAGGAGCAUAUUGCUUAGGACUUCCUUUUUUAUUACUACAUCAGUAGGUUUCAACUAAAACUUUAUUAAAAGAAUAGAAAAUGCCUAGUGACAAACUAAGCAAUACAGUAUGACCAAAUAAAAUUAACAGAACCAAAAAACCACAAGCAGCCUAACCGAAACGUGCUCCCCAUGUAUGAGCUUGUAGAUGGCAUUCACCGGAACAUAUUGUUUAUGCAUCACGUACAAGUGAUUUAAGCGACCCUCAACAUAUUGUUGGUUUAAAAGCAAACAUGUCCAUAUGUACAUACGCACACACACAAUAAUAAGGUUCAUAUGUUCGAAAAUGAAUCACCUGCUGUUCAUCCUCAGGAAGUGGGUAAACAUCACCAAAAAUUGUAGCGCGUGCAUUUGACAAACCGCUCCAUCCAGGUAUCUAUAAAUACACCUACAAUUUAAAAACCAGCUUAAAACGUUAAAUGUUAUUAUUGGUGUCGAUAAGUCUCUCAACGCUCUUGAGCUUUCCUCUCUUACAAAACACUCAAACUCAUGAUAACUCACAUUCUUUACAUUCAGUGUCUUCCCUCUAUUGUUAUGUGUUCCAAUUUCUUCUGCUCCGGCUGCUGCACUCUCAGUGAUUUCUCCAGCCCCCUCUUCAGAUUCUCUUCAUCGGCGACGCCCAUUUUGUAAGUAAUCGACGUUUUCAAGUGUGUUUCACCAGAAUCUUUAUCUAUCGUCAAUGCGAAUACGUGCGCUGUGCUCGAAAAUUUCGAUAUUCGUGUCUUGAAAUCGAAACCAGAAACCCAUGGCAUCAGUGCUGAAAACAUACCUGGAUGUAAAUAUAUAUUAAUAAUUAGAGGGUGUAUGACAAAGGCAUUCAAAAAUAAGGAUUAUACAACUAAUAGGGUCGUUUAGGCUCCCGAGCCUAGUAAAGCAAGUUAUGUGAGGCUUGGACUCGCGAUCAAGCUCGUUUAAACGUCUCAGUAAUCCACUCAUAGGAAACCCAAAAA